This 159-nucleotide ribosomal RNA is filed under the name Triticum aestivum (bread wheat). RNAcentral's name for it is "partial small subunit ribosomal RNA". Lineage: Eukaryota; Viridiplantae; Streptophyta; Magnoliopsida; Poales; Poaceae. The record is from RNAcentral.
AUGGCACCAUCCAUGAGUCUUGCAGCGAAAGGUCUGCUCCCCUUUGGAGCGCUCCCCUCAAGCGGCGUCGCGCAGAGGCCGGUGUCUGUGACCGCCUCACCAGAGCACAAGACGAGCGAUUAUAAGAGGAAGCUCCUGACCCUGUUUUUGCUUGCUUGA